CUCAGCCAAAGAAGAAGGAUGGCUUUUACCUAGUGAUGCUGAUUCAUUGAAUUGCAACCAGACCUUAGAACUGAAGAGUUCAGCUGAACCUCGAACUGAAGAGGCAUUCUUCAAUCAAGUUGUAGCUCUGUCCCAAGUGGGUCUCCUCUUACUUGCAAAUGCGAAGAGGAAUGCCAUAUAUGCUGUACACUUGGAUUAUGGUCCUAAUCCAGCGGCAUCUCGCAUGGAUUACAUAUCAGAGUUUACUGUUACCAUGCCUAUCUUGAGUUUAACAGGGACUAGUGAUGUUUUACAUGGCCAAUGUGUUGCUCAGGUUUAUUGCGUCCAGACACAGGCUAUUCAGCAGUAUACUUUGGACUUGUGCCAGUGCUUGCCGCCACUGUUGGAGAAUGUGGGUUCAGAGAAGUCAGAUCCCAAUGUUUCACAUGAUCUAGCUAAUGUUGAAGGAGUUGCUCCUUUGGACUCACGUGGAAGCAACUUUUCUGACAUCCCUACAAGCUCUGCUUCUGUUGAUGCAGCCACUUUGCAUCAUAUUUCCUCUUCUAAUAGUCCCUCUACGCCUCCAGUUUUGACCCCUUCAGCUAGUGACACUGAGAUCACAUGUGUUACAUCAUCUCCUCUUUUCUUGACGCGCAAGGUUUUAACNNNNNNNNNNNNUUACGGUUGCAGGAAGGCUUGAGCCAGGUCCUCCACCUGGUGACCAAAGUUUAAAUCAGCCAGUCAUUGAUUAUUCAGUUGACCAGAAAAUGGACACUAUUCAUGCAAAUGUAUCAAAUGUUACUUCCUUGGAUAGUGACUCAAGGACUGAUGAGAUGAA
Molecule: unclassified non-coding RNA, 817 nt
Filed under: Hevea brasiliensis (rubber tree)
Lineage: Eukaryota; Viridiplantae; Streptophyta; Magnoliopsida; Malpighiales; Euphorbiaceae
Source: RNAcentral